RNAcentral lists this transfer RNA (62 nucleotides) under Clonorchis sinensis. It matches the Rfam family "tRNA", at positions 6 to 65 of the family's 71-position model. From Rfam's summary of the family: Transfer RNA (tRNA) molecules are approximately 80 nucleotides in length. Their secondary structure includes four short double-helical elements and three loops (D, anti-codon, and T loops). Lineage: Eukaryota; Metazoa; Platyhelminthes; Trematoda; Opisthorchiida; Opisthorchiidae. The record is from Rfam by way of RNAcentral.
GAUAGCUCAGUUGGUAGAACACCCGUUUUUUAAGCAGGAGGUUGGUGAUUCGAGUUCAUCUC